Molecule: long non-coding RNA, 1274 nt
Filed under: Mytilus galloprovincialis (Mediterranean mussel)
Lineage: Eukaryota; Metazoa; Mollusca; Bivalvia; Mytilida; Mytilidae
Source: RNAcentral
CAUUGUGAUUCGAAUACAACAAAUUUAAUAAUUAAAUUAUUUAGUUUCCAAAGUUUAGAUCAAACCGUUCUAACAGAAUAUUAAAUAUUAUGCAAACGAACAUAACGCUUGGUGAAUCUAAACACCCUUGCUGACAAGCGUGGUUUACGCUGUAAUGUUCUAACUCCAAAACAAGUUUAACCGCAAAAAUGCGCAGUUCGUGUGGAAAUUACUAUACAAUGUAUCAUGAUUUAAUUUAGAUACAUGAACAAUUUAAGUGAGGCAGAUGGUUUUCUGUCAAAAGAUAACAGUAUGGGAUGGGUUGAAUUUCACGAGUACCAGAUCUAAAUCUUAAAACAUUAUCAAUGUAUUAUAGACGGUUUCUUCACUAAAUAAGGUCCCCAUGCAUGAGGAAUAUAACACAUAUCGUUCUAAACAUUUGUAGAACAAUGAAUUAUCAGUUUACUUCUAUGGCGAGUUUGUCAUACUAAGGUAAAGGAGAGGAAUCAUAUAGAUCUAUCAUGUUUAUUAAAAAGGUACUGCUGGUUCGUCCUCGAGGGUAUCACCAGCCCAGUAGUCAGCACUUCGGUGUUGACAUGAAUAUCAAUUAUAUGCUCAUAUUUAUAAAUUUCCUAUUACAAAAAUUUUCACAAAACUAAGGAGUUUUUUUUUUUAUCCCAGGAAUAAAUUACCUUAGCUGUAUUUGGUAAAACUUUUAGGAAUUUUGGUCUUUAAUGCUCUUAAACUUCGUAAUUUAUUUUGCCUUUUAAACUUUUUAGGAUUCGAGCGUCACUGAUGAGUCUUUUGUAGACGAAACACGCGUCUAUAGCGUAAAUACAAAAUUGAAAUCCUGGUAUCUAUGAUGAGUUUAUCUAUCAUUUCUAAAAGGUUAAACUUGUAAAUGUUGGAAGUGUUUCGGAUUUUGAUUUUGCCAUUUGAUUAGGGGUUUUGCGUUUUGAAUUUUCCUCGGAGUUCAGUUGUUGUAAUUUUACUUUUGUAAAUAAUUGAUUAAAAUGAUUGUUUGAGGAAAUAAAGUUUAGAUACUGACAUACAUUGUAUUUGGUAUAUUAAAAGAGGAGGAACCAUCGGGUUACUUUAUCAUGUCUAAUAACAAGACGCCAAUCUGUUAGACCAACUGUAAACCAACUAAUAUUUGUGAUUUACUUACGCGAAUAGAAAAAUAUCGCGAAUAUGUAAAACUUUGAUUUUUCCUUACUAAACUACACCAAUUAAAUUUGAGAAUCGUGAAAUUUAAUCGCCUCGAAAUGAGCUAGAAAGGGCUAAACUCGAAAUAA